Molecule: long non-coding RNA, 323 nt
Filed under: Equus caballus (horse)
Lineage: Eukaryota; Metazoa; Chordata; Mammalia; Perissodactyla; Equidae
Description: lncRNA (ENSECAG00000052929.1)
Source: RNAcentral
CUUUUUCCCCAGAUGAUCCAAAUCUCUACUUGCCUUUUAAACAUCUCAGCAGCUUCUUUCUGUUUCUUUGGCAACUUAUGCUGUACAGCUAAGGAGCUGUCUAGUGACACAGCCACAAGUUCCAAGCCACUGCUUUUUAUUUGGAUUCUGUGCCUUGAUCUGUGAAUUGGCAAGUGCCCCAAAGGGACAAAGCAGCAGACUAAGUGCCACUGGCAUCAAUGGAGGAGAUGGAACUAAACGUGAUUGUUUUAUAUCUGUAGCUGUUAGUGCAUGGUAAGAUACUUCUGGUGGUAAUUUUAUUUACAGCUUCCUCUUUAUUGACC